UUGCCAGACUCCUACGGGAGGCAGCAGUAGGGAAUUUUGCGCAAUGGGUGAAAGCCUGACGCAGCAACGCCGCGUGAUCGAGACGCCCUUCGGGGUGUAAAGAUCUGUCAGUGGGGACGAGACUUGACGGUACCCACAGAGGAAGCACCGGCUAACUCCGUGCCAGCAGCCGCGGUAAUACGGGGGGUGCAAGCGUUGUCCGGAUUUACUGGGUGUAAAGGGAGCGUAGACGGCAGCACAAGUCUGGAGUGAAAUGCCGGGGCUUAACCCCGGAACUGCUUUGGAAACUGUGCAGCUAGAGUGCAGGAGAGGUAAGUGGAAUUCCUAGUGUAGCGGUGAAAUGCGUAGAUAUUAGGAGGAACACCAGUGGCGAAGGCGGCUUACUGGACUGUAACUGACGUUGAGGCUCGAAAGCGUGGGGAGCAAACAGGAUUAGAUACCCGCGUAA
RNAcentral lists this ribosomal RNA (448 nucleotides) under uncultured bacterium. RNAcentral's name for it is "bacterial SSU rRNA". It matches the Rfam family "Bacterial small subunit ribosomal RNA", at positions 328 to 793 of the family's 1533-position model. The record is from RNAcentral.